This 893-nucleotide long non-coding RNA is filed under the name Nicotiana tabacum (common tobacco). RNAcentral describes it as "long non-coding RNA (NTAB_LNC019242)". Lineage: Eukaryota; Viridiplantae; Streptophyta; Magnoliopsida; Solanales; Solanaceae. The record is from RNAcentral.
UUUUCUUGAUUUCUCAAAAACCAGAACCAAACGAAGAACGAGACCCUCCCCGUUCCCAAAAACAAGCGAUUCCCUCUUUCUUCUUCUUCACUUCACGCCUAAGCCAUCCAGUAGCAGCUGCAAAAUGCCAAAAACCAGAUCUAAAAAUCAAAAGCUAAAAAAACGCAAGAAAAGCUGAUAUUUUCAAUGGAAAUUUAUAGAGAACUGAUUUUCGACGCUCGAUUUCCUUUCGUCUUGGGUAGGAUUUGCUGUUUUUGGUCGUUGAUUUUGCUGACUCCGUGUUGCUAUUUUUGCUCGUUUCACUGCUGUCCAAUAGUGGAGCUUUAGUUUGCUUCUUAUGAUAUAGCUCAUUUGAACCAACACAACAUCUGAUUUUUUGAGAAUUCAAUAAACGUGGACAGUUGGCAGUUGAAGUUACAAAGAAAUGAUGAGCUUGAUUCUUUGGAUUCUGGUUUCUAUUUGGCCAAAUUUCAGUUGUUUCCUACUAAGUAGCUAAUUUCUUUGCCUUUUGUCUGGCUUUUGGAGCUGUAGACCUGCGCUCUAGAUGUUGAAAGUUGGCAUGGAUGUGAACAUGAAUUUAAUAUCUCCUUGUUGAUGCUUUUGCAGUACAUAUUGAUGCAGCUUUUAGGAUUGCCUAUCAUCUUAGAAUGCGAUGAAGUUACUAGAUUUUUCUGAAUGCCCUCGUACCUCAUUUCUUUCAGACAUAGAAGAAGAAUCAUUCAGGUAAUACCUGAACUGAUAUUGAUAUAACACGAACUUAGACUGUGAUUUUUUUUUUGAAGAAUUAUAGCUCUCGAGCUCUAGUUCAAGUAUAUCUAUUAUUCUACGUCUCUGCCAUUCUUUUCAAUGAUUAUCUAAAAUUUAGAGGUUUUUUUAGAUUAAAUGUUUACGUG